UCAGACUGAGUAUUUGUUAAAAGAAACUGGCAUGGUGAAUCCCCCUGUGCGGAGGGGCAUAUCAGCGACAGGUGGUUGGUUAUAUCCCUUAUCUGGUGCGGGUUCAGGUGCUGAUACUGAACUCACCGGGAGGCACCCGGCAUCAUGCUGUAUACAGAGAUUAGGCAUAUAUCCAGGCUCCUCAUCGCAGGAGCCUUUUUACAUGC
Molecule: small RNA, 206 nt
Filed under: Escherichia coli ED1a
Lineage: Bacteria; Pseudomonadati; Pseudomonadota; Gammaproteobacteria; Enterobacterales; Enterobacteriaceae
Description: Gammaproteobacterial sRNA STnc100
Rfam family: Gammaproteobacterial sRNA STnc100
Source: Rfam by way of RNAcentral